Molecule: ribosomal RNA, 403 nt
Filed under: Verrucomicrobiota bacterium
Lineage: Bacteria; Pseudomonadati; Verrucomicrobiota
Description: Verrucomicrobia bacterium partial 16S ribosomal RNA
Rfam family: Bacterial small subunit ribosomal RNA
Source: RNAcentral
UGGGGAAUAUUGCACAAUGGGCGCAAGCCUGAUGCAGCAACGCCGCGUGAACGAUGAAGGUCUUCGGAUCGUAAAGUUCUGUUGCAGGGGAAGAUAAUGACGGUACCCUGUGAGGAAGCCCCGGCUAACUACGUGCCAGCAGCCGCGGUAAUACGUAGGGGGCUAGCGUUAUCCGGAUUUACUGGGCGUAAAGGGUGCGUAGGUGGUCUUUCAAGUCGGUGGUUAAAGGCUACGGCUCAACCGUAGUUAGCCUCCGAAACUGGAAGACUUGAGUGAAGGAGAGGAAAGUGGAAUUCCCAGUGUAGCGGUGAAAUGCGUAGAUAUUGGGAGGAACACCAGUAGCGAAGGCGGCUUUCUGGACGGCAACUGACACUGAGGCACGAAAGCGUGGGUAGCAAACAGG